Equus caballus (horse) is the source of this 1346-nucleotide long non-coding RNA. Lineage: Eukaryota; Metazoa; Chordata; Mammalia; Perissodactyla; Equidae. The record is from Ensembl.
GGGGUCUUUAUGUUCUCCACGUUGCUCCCUGCCCAGUCACUGUGAGCUAGACCCACCUCUACUGAAGAUGUGGCUUCUAUUAGGUGGCUCUCCCUUAAUGCUACAGGCAUUGUCUCCCAGUUCUAGUACCUCCUUUCUCUUAGGCUUUGGCCUAGUGGGAGAGAAACAAGAGAAAACAAUAUUGGCCCACCAGUUCUGUGAUACUGCUCUGUCCUUCAUGAUAGACGCUGUAAUCAAAACGGGAGCAACUACCGGUUCAUGCCCUGCUCGGAGACCUGUAAGCACGAACCAGGCAGCCCCUGUGCAGAGGACUGACUCCUGGGUGGGAAACCCAGUGACAGCUACGCAGGUUUGCUUUACCCUUUCCUCCUUCCCUGCAGACUCAUCAGCAUGGAAAAGACAGAACAAGACCUCUGACAACAGCUCAGCUGCUGAGGCCACAGAGGGAAAAUUAGAAAGAUAAAAAAUAUAGAUUAUAACAUCAUCAAAAAAGGGGCAUUAGGCCAGGAAGGAGCCUGCUGAGUGUUAUGGGAAGGACUUCACUGGAACCUAAGACAAUGGAGAAGAGAUCUUUAGAAUAUGCGUGCCUGAGUCAGUCCCAGCAAAUGGUCAUGCUGCUCAGAUAAGCUUGUUUCUGGAAGCACAUUGCUUGAAUCAUUCACCUUCCAGAAAUCUGGUUGCAAAAGUGACCAUUCCUAUCACCAUUCCGGUCCUCACGCGUUAUUGACACCCCCACUGCGGGAAAGACACUGUGAUUGGUGUUCCCUCAGGGUAAGAACAUCUAGGGAAAGCUUAGUGCUGCCCAGAUGGACUCUGGCAUCAUUGAUCAAGUGAAAACAGUAAUGUCCCAAGCAAGACGGGAAGAGGAGGCACCAAGAACAAACAUUUAUUUUAAAGCAGUAAUCUUUAUGAAAUAUGCAUGAUACAGCUAGCUGCUGAUAUAAUGCCUGUUACAGCUAUUUCUCGGCCUAUUUGCAAACCCAUCAACCACACUAUGAAGUGGCACUGUGGACAACACAAAAAGGAAUAAUGACAAUUAAAUAAGGCCCAUUGCGUAUUAAGCAUUGCACUUGAACUCAUCCAAUUUCAACAACAGCACUAUGAGAAAAACAUUAUUAUCCCCUUUUUACCAAAGAGGAAACAGAAACUUGGAGAGAUUAUAGAUGUGUUCAAGUGCACAUGAUAAGGGACAGGGCAGAAUCUAACCAACAGUAUUAAACUAAAAUGACUGAGUGGACGCCCUGGCUAUAUAUUUGUGAAAGUAGCACUGGGCAUGACUGCAUAUUCAUAUACCAAGUGCAUAGUCAGUAAAAAAUAUGACUGAGCCAAUACAAGGUCCAAAUGGG